This 484-nucleotide ribosomal RNA is filed under the name uncultured bacterium. RNAcentral's name for it is "partial 16S ribosomal RNA". It matches the Rfam family "Bacterial small subunit ribosomal RNA", at positions 28 to 523 of the family's 1533-position model. The record is from RNAcentral.
GACGAACGCUGGCGGCGUGCUUAACACAUGCAAGUCGAACGAUGAAGCCGGAGCUUGCUCUGGUGAAUUAGUGGCGAACGGGUGAGUGACACGUGAGUAACCUGCCCUUGACUCUGGGAUAACUGCGGGAAACUGUAGCUAAUACCGGAUACGACCCUCGGAGGCAUCUCCUGGGGGUGGAAAGAAUUUCGGUCAAGGAUGGACUCGCGGCCUAUCAGCUAGUUGGUGAGGUAAAGGCUCACCAAGGCGACGACGGGUAGCCGGCCUGAGAGGGUGACCGGCCACACUGGGACUGAGACACGGCCCAGACUCCUACGGGAGGCAGCAGUGGGGAAUAUUGCACAAUGGGCGCAAGACUGAUGCAGCAACGCCGCGUGAGGGAUGACGGCCUUCGGGUUGUAAACCUCUUUUAGCAGGGAAGAAGCGAAAGUGACGGUACCUGCAGAAAAAGCACCGGCUAACUACGUGCCAGCAGCCGCGGUAA